This 694-nucleotide ribosomal RNA is filed under the name uncultured bacterium. Its description in RNAcentral is "bacterial SSU rRNA". It matches the Rfam family "Bacterial small subunit ribosomal RNA", at positions 33 to 773 of the family's 1533-position model. The record is from RNAcentral.
ACGCUGGCGGCAUGCCUAACACAUGCAAGUCGAACGAAGGCUUCGGCCUUGGUGGCGCACGGGUGCGUAACGCGUGGGAAUCUGCCCCUUGGUUCGGAAUAACAGUUGGAAACGACUGCUAAUACCGGAUGAUGACGUAAGUCCAAAGAUUUAUCGCCGAGGGAUGAGCCCGCGUAGGAUUAGGUAGUUGGUGUGGUAAGGGCGCGCCAAGCCGACGAUCCUUAGCUGGUCUGAGAGGAUGAUCAGCCACACUGGGACUGAGACACGGCCCAGACUCCUACGGGAGGCAGCAGUGGGGAAUAUUGGACAAUGGGCGAAAGCCUGAUCCAGCAAUGCCGCGUGAGUGAUGAAGGCCUUAGGGUUGUAAAGCUCUUUUACCCGGGAUGAUAAUGACAGUACCGGGAGAAUAAGCUCCGGCUAACUCCGUGCCAGCAGCCGCGGUAAUACGGAGGGAGCUAGCGUUAUUCGGAAUUACUGGGCGUAAAGCGCACGUAGGCGGCUUUGUAAGUAAGAGGUGAAAGCCCAGAGCUCAACUCUGGAAUUGCCUUUUAGACUGCAUCGCUUGAAUCAUGGAGAGGUCAGUGGAACUCCAUGUGUAGCGGUGGAAUGCGUAGAUAUAUGGAAGAACACCAGUGGCGAAGGCGGCUUACUGGACUGCAACUGACGUUGAGGCUCGAAAGUGUGGGUAGCAAAC